GACGAACGCUGGCGGCGUGCCUAAUACAUGCAAGUAGAACGCUGAAGAGAGGAGCUUGCUCUUCUUGGAUGAGUUGCGAACGGGUGAGUAACGCGUAGGUAACCUGCCUUGUAGCGGGGGAUAACUAUUGGAAACGAUAGCUAAUACCGCAUAACAAUGGAUGACCCAUGUCAUUUAUUUGAAAGGGGCAAAUGCUCCACUACAAGAUGGACCUGCGUUGUAUUAGCUAGUAGGUGAGGUAACGGCUCACCUAGGCGACGAUACAUAGCCGACCUGAGAGGGUGAUCGGGCACACUGGGACUGAGACACGGCCCCGACUCCUACGGGAGGCAGCAGUAGGGAAUCUUCGGCAAUGGGGGCAACCCUAACCGAGCAACGCCGCGUGAGUGAAGAAGGUUUUCGGAUCGUAAAGCUCUGUUGUAAGUCAAGAACGAGUGUGAGAGUGGAAAGUUCACACUGUGACGGUAGCUUACCAGAAAGGGACGGCUAACUACGUG
This 497-nucleotide ribosomal RNA is filed under the name uncultured bacterium. RNAcentral describes it as "partial 16S ribosomal RNA". It matches the Rfam family "Bacterial small subunit ribosomal RNA", at positions 28 to 507 of the family's 1533-position model. The record is from RNAcentral.